This 232-nucleotide ribosomal RNA is filed under the name Listeria monocytogenes. RNAcentral's name for it is "partial 23S ribosomal RNA". It matches the Rfam family "Bacterial large subunit ribosomal RNA", at positions 387 to 621 of the family's 2925-position model. The record is from RNAcentral. Lineage: Bacteria; Bacillati; Bacillota; Bacilli; Caryophanales; Listeriaceae.
GCUUUCCCUCCAGAGUGGAUCCUGAGUACGACGGAACACGUGUAAAUCCGUCGGAAUCCGGGAGGACCAACUCCCAAGGCUAAAUACUCCCUAGUGACCGAUAGGGAACCAGUACCGUGAGGGAAAUGAGAAAAGCACCCCGGAAGGGGAGUGAGACAGAUCCUGAAACCGGGUGACUACCAGGAGUUAUAGUCCGUUAAUGGGUGCUAGCGUGCCUUCUGUAGAAUGAACC